Molecule: ribosomal RNA, 2166 nt
Filed under: Salmonella enterica subsp. enterica serovar Typhimurium
Lineage: Bacteria; Pseudomonadati; Pseudomonadota; Gammaproteobacteria; Enterobacterales; Enterobacteriaceae
Description: bacterial LSU rRNA
Rfam family: Bacterial large subunit ribosomal RNA
Source: RNAcentral
GGGGGUGAAAGGCCAAUCAAACCGGGAGAUAGCUGGUUCUCCCCGAAAGCUAUUUAGGUAGCGCCUCGUGAAUUCAUCUCCGGGGGUAGAGCACUGUUUCGGCUAGGGGGCCAUCCCGGCUUACCAACCCGAUGCAAACUGCGAAUACCGGAGAAUGUUAUCACGGGAGACACACGGCGGGUGCUAACGUCCGUCGUGAAGAGGGAAACAACCCAGACCGCCAGCUAAGGUCCCAAAGUCAUGGUUAAGUGGGAAACGAUGUGGGAAGGCCCAGACAGCCAGGAUGUUGGCUUAGAAGCAGCCAUCAUUUAAAGAAAGCGUAAUAGCUCACUGGUCGAGUCGGCCUGCGCGGAAGAUGUAACGGGGCUAAACCAUGCACCGAAGCUGCGGCAGCGAACGUAUCACCCAAGACAACUUUGGUAGAGCUAGGGGAGCGUUCUGUAAGCCUGUGAAGGUGUGUCGUGAGGCAUGCUGGAGGUAUCAGAAGUGCGAAUGCUGACAUAAGUAACGAUAAAGCGGGUGAAAAGCCCGCUCGCCGGAAGACCAAGGGUUCCUGUCCAACGUUAAUCGGGGCAGGGUGAGUCGACCCCUAAGGCGAGGCCGAAAGGCGUAGUCGAUGGGAAACGGGUUAAUAUUCCCGUACUUGGUGUUACUGCGAAGGGGGGACGGAGAAGGCUAUGUUGGCCGGGCGACGGUUGUCCCGGUUUAAGCGUGUAGGUGUGUGUUCCAGGUAAAUCCGGUUCACUUUAACACUGAGGCGUGACGACGAGGCACUACGGUGCUGAAGCAACAAAUGCCCUGCUUCCAGGAAAAGCCUCUAAGCAUCAGGUAACACGAAAUCGUACCCCAAACCGACACAGGUGGUCAGGUAGAGAAUACCAAGGCGCUUGAGAGAACUCGGGUGAAGGAACUAGGCAAAAUGGUGCCGUAACUUCGGGAGAAGGCACGCUGACACGUAGGUGAAGUGAUUUACUCAUGGAGCUGAAGUCAGUCGAAGAUACCAGCUGGCUGCAACUGUUUAUUAAAAACACAGCACUGUGCAAACACGAAAGUGGACGUAUACGGUGUGACGCCUGCCCGGUGCCGGAAGGUUAAUUGAUGGGGUCAGCGUAAGCGAAGCUCCUGAUCGAAGCCCCGGUAAACGGCGGCCGUAACUAUAACGGUCCUAAGGUAGCGAAAUUCCUUGUCGGGUAAGUUCCGACCUGCACGAAUGGCGUAAUGAUGGCCAGGCUGUCUCCACCCGAGACUCAGUGAAAUUGAACUCGCUGUGAAGAUGCAGUGUACCCGCGGCAAGACGGAAAGACCCCGUGAACCUUUACUAUAGCUUGACACUGAACAUUGAGCCUUGAUGUGUAGGAUAGGUGGGAGGCUUUGAAGUGUGGACGCCAGUCUGCAUGGAGCCGACCUUGAAAUACCACCCUUUAAUGUUUGAUGUUCUAACGUGGACCCGUAAUCCGGGUUGCGGACAGUGUCUGGUGGGUAGUUUGACUGGGGCGGUCUCCUCCUAAAGAGUAACGGAGGAGCACGAAGGUUGGCUAAUCCUGGUCGGACAUCAGGAGGUUAGUGCAAUGGCAUAAGCCAGCUUGACUGCGAGCGUGACGGCGCGAGCAGGUGCGAAAGCAGGUCAUAGUGAUCCGGUGGUUCUGAAUGGAAGGGCCAUCGCUCAACGGAUAAAAGGUACUCCGGGGAUAACAGGCUGAUACCGCCCAAGAGUUCAUAUCGACGGCGGUGUUUGGCACCUCGAUGUCGGCUCAUCACAUCCUGGGGCUGAAGUAGGUCCCAAGGGUAUGGCUGUUCGCCAUUUAAAGUGGUACGCGAGCUGGGUUUAGAACGUCGUGAGACAGUUCGGUCCCUAUCUGCCGUGGGCGCUGGAGAACUGAGGGGGGCUGCUCCUAGUACGAGAGGACCGGAGUGGACGCAUCACUGGUGUUCGGGUUGUCAUGCCAAUGGCACUGCCCGGUAGCUAAAUGCGGAAGAGAUAAGUGCUGAAAGCAUCUAAGCACGAAACUUGCCCCGAGAUGAGUUCUCCCUGAGACUUUAGGUCUCCUGAAGGAACGUUGAGAACGUUGAAGACGACGACGUUGAUAGGCCGGGUGUGUAAGCGCAGCGAUGCGUUGAGCUAACCGGUACUAAUGAACCGUGAGGCUUAACCUUACAACGCCGAAG